Molecule: long non-coding RNA, 290 nt
Organism: Rhipicephalus microplus (southern cattle tick)
Lineage: Eukaryota; Metazoa; Arthropoda; Arachnida; Ixodida; Ixodidae
Source: RefSeq, a predicted model, not a curated record
CAACACUGCCAGCCGAACGAGAAAACUUGGGCAGCUAUCAGCAUUACAAUGUCGACCAUGAAGUUCAGGUUCAUCUUAAUGCUUGCAUUAACAGCCAUGGUGGUGAGAGUCUCAAGUGCACGUAAGGGACCCCGUGGCCUAUUUGGAAAUCUUUAUUGUGACAGACGGCCUUGCAAAGAAGGAGACAAUGCCCGAUGCGACUAUCCUACAUGCGAAUGUGUGCGGAGAGGUGGUGGCUACUACUGCAGCUCUUUAAUUUGGUACUAAUGUCCUUAAUAAAAUCUAGCACA